Molecule: transfer RNA, 72 nt
Filed under: Heterocephalus glaber (naked mole-rat)
Lineage: Eukaryota; Metazoa; Chordata; Mammalia; Rodentia; Bathyergidae
Rfam family: tRNA
About the family: Transfer RNA (tRNA) molecules are approximately 80 nucleotides in length. Their secondary structure includes four short double-helical elements and three loops (D, anti-codon, and T loops). Further hydrogen bonds mediate the characteristic L-shaped molecular structure. tRNAs have two regions of fundamental functional importance: the anti-codon, which is responsible for specific mRNA codon recognition, and the 3' end, to which the tRNAs corresponding amino acid is attached (by aminoacyl-tRNA synthetases). tRNAs cope with the degeneracy of the genetic code in two manners: having more than one tRNA (with a specific anti-codon) for a particular amino acid; and 'wobble' base-pairing, i.e. permitting non-standard base-pairing at the 3rd anti-codon position.
Source: Rfam by way of RNAcentral
GGAGGUGUGGCUCAGUGGCACAGUGCUUGUCUAACAGGCGAGAAGCCCUGGGUUCAAUCCCCAACACUGCAA